This is a non-coding RNA of Paramuricea clavata, 221 nucleotides long. The record is from the annotation of a GenBank genome assembly. NCBI's taxonomy places the organism in Eukaryota, Metazoa, Cnidaria, Anthozoa, Malacalcyonacea, Plexauridae.
UUUAGACUUAACUAUGGACCAACUAAGAGAUAUCAGGGGACUAACGUACCCGCUAUUUGAAGAUGCGCGAGUCAGAUUAUUACUAUCAAAAAAUUCAACGUAUGUUGAUGUCAUUGCUGAGUUCAACAGAAAAUAUAAACUUCGUAACGAAAUAACGUUGGAGGAGCUUGAUGGAACUGAUCGAGUACGAGGCUUUCGGAUGCAUGAUUUGAUAGAAAUGU